GACGAACGCUGGCGGCGUGCCUAACACAUGCAAGUCGAGCGGAGAAAAUUGAAAGCUUGCUUUUGGUUUUCUUAGCGGCGGACGGGUGAGUAACGCGUGGGCAACCUGCCUAUCACAGGGGGAUAACACAGGGAAACUUGUGCUAAUACCGCAUAACACAACGAGGUAGCAUUACCUUGCUGUCAAGGGAGCAAUCCGGUGAUAGAUGGGCCCGCGUCCAAUUAGCUAGUUGGUGAUGUAACGGACCACCAAGGCGACGAUUGGUAGCCGAACUGAGAGGUUGAUCGGCCACAUUGGGACUGAGACACGGCCCAGACUCCUACGGGAGGCAGCAGUGGGGAAUAUUGCACAAUGGGGGAAACCCUGAUGCAGCAACGCCGCGUGAAGGAUGAAGGUUUUCGGAUUGUAAACUUCUUUAGUCAGGGACGAAUAAAUGACGGUACCUGAAGAAUAAGCCACGGCUAACUACGUGCCAGCAGCCGCGGUAA
Molecule: ribosomal RNA, 488 nt
Filed under: uncultured bacterium
Lineage: Bacteria
Description: partial 16S ribosomal RNA
Rfam family: Bacterial small subunit ribosomal RNA
Source: RNAcentral